AUACUUCUGGCAGGGGCGAUACCAUAAUCACAAAGGUGGUUUUUCCAGGGCAAGGCUCACCCAUUGCAUCCAGGUGUGCUGACCCCUGCGAUUUCCCCAAAUGUGGGAAACUCGACUGCAUAAUUUGUGGUAGUGAGGACUGAGUGCAUGCUAUCCCCU
Suncus etruscus (white-toothed pygmy shrew) is the source of this 159-nucleotide small nuclear RNA. RefSeq annotates it as U1 spliceosomal RNA. The transcript has a single exon. The record is from RefSeq and is a predicted model, not a curated record. Lineage: Eukaryota; Metazoa; Chordata; Mammalia; Eulipotyphla; Soricidae.